CUGAUAUAAAUGGAAUCUUGAAGGUGCAUCAAAAAUUCUGUCUUUUGAGAGGAUAAGGAAAAAAAAGCCACCGUGGCUCUUUGUUUGGAACAGGGCAUAUUCAAGUGGAAUGUACCCUUGGAACAAAGUCAGAGUUUGGCAGCAGCUGGAGUAUUUUGCCCUGUCCGAUGGGCAGGGUAGCCUAUUUUGUUGGGUUAGAAAUGGCCACUGUGAAGCCUAUAAAAUGUUCUGAAGUAACACUGUAAGGGACUGUUGAAGGGUGAUGCAAAGGAGCCUUGUCAAGAGACCAUCUGCUCUCGUGUCAGCUGAACCUAACUGGAAAAGUACACGGAGUUCUUGAGACAAUUUGAUCAGUAAAGACAAACUAAAAAAGUACUCAACCAAAGAUGCCGUGUAAAUUAGCCCCAAAGCACAUCCCCCAAGCACACACAGCUCUUAAUGUUGCAUCGUUACAGCUGAUAUCAAGUAUACCAGGGCAGAAAAGGCAUAAACUCAAAGAAUCAAGAUCAAAGUGGAUCUAGAUUCCUUUUCCAAACAGAACAUUGCUUUAUGUGCCCUUUAAACUGUUCCACUUUUAAUUGAAUUAGUCACACUUGGUGGCAGAUACCCUUUAAUCCUUUGUCACAGGCUAGACUUGCAUAUUUUAAAACAGCUUAAGAGACAUCUUGUCAAUGAGAUAAUCACUUUUUCCUCAGUUCGGAUUAUCAUAAACUAAAUAUUUUCACCCGAUAGAAUGAAUAAGUGUAGUCAAAAAGAAAAAUCUAAAAUGAAGCCAGGCCUCAUUGGGUCUCAAAUGUAUACUAACAGUAAACGCCAUCUGAAGAUUAUAAACAUAUCUGUUAUUUCACAUUCCCUCCAUCUAUAAACCCCCCAGACAUCUACCUGAAUACUAGGACAAGCCAUGCAGUGAGGAGACAGAUAGUCUUGCUAGGCAUAUGCUGUGAGGAGAAAUACAUCCAUUGAGCAUUCUCAGAAAGCAAACUAGAAAGCAGUUCUCAGAACUCACUGUAGAGCUCUUGACAUUAAGCACUGUAUGUUAUCAGCUCACUGGAGUCCACAAAGCCUCUAUGCGGCUGUGAUUAACCCUGUUUUACAGACCAGAGAAAUAAGACACAAAUAACCUGGCAAAAUUUACUGUUGGAGCAGAUAACUUUUUUUCCAUCAAAUCUUUGAAGGACAACAAAUACAAUCAAUACACAACCUUUUUCCUUUCUAGUCACUGAAACUCAUUCAACUGAUUAUCAUCACUUUCUAGGAUGUCAAGGUGGUACGAAUCUACUGAAUGAGGACUGUGUUUGGUCAAUUACUACACAACCACCCAAGUCACUCGGGUUCUCCCAGUUCACUAAUAAUGCCAUUUAGAUCUACAGUGACAGUUAUGACCCUCAUGCUGGUCAUGAUUCCUUGGUCACUUUGUAUCUGGAAUUGUUCCUUCAUCUUUCAUUACCUUUCAGAGCCUUGAUAUAUUUUUUUAAACUACAGGCCAGGAAUUUGCAGGAGUCUGCAAUGGGAUGUGUUCAGUAUUUCCUCAUGAUUAGAUGCAAGUUUUGUAUCAUCAUUAGCAGGGACAUUCUCAAGGUCACUCUGAGUUGGCAUGUGUGCCAUCAGGAGAUAUCCCAUUACUGGUGUCUUUGCCUUGGUCACUUAGUAAGGUAGUGUCACACAGAAUUCUCCACCAUAAUGUCAGCCAUUUACCCCAUAUAAUUAGUGUUUGGGGGAAAGGUCCUUUGAAGGUAUUUGUUUAUUUAUGUCACCAUAAACCCUGUGGGUUUAUCCGAUGGGUUGGCGAAUACUACAGUUGUUAUUUUGAUGUUCAAAGUGUCUUUGGUCUGGCCACCAGAAGCCUAUUCCUCCUGCCUCUCUGUCACUAGAGUUCUCAUCUUAGAGCAUGUUUUUUUAAAAAAUUAAUUUGAACAGUAAGCCUUUUAAGGUUCAUCUUGUACUUUCCUUGCUGUGACCCUGUAAUUCACUGCUUUUCCAAGGACACUUAUUUUAUUUGCACGAAGAAUUGCCCUUAGCAAGCCAAGACCUGUGUUUGAGUGUGGUUAUUGCUGCUUCAGACACCCUGCUAGGUAGAAAUAGGAUGUGCUUGCAUGGGUACACAUUCAUGCAUGUGCAUAAGGAAAAUAAUUUUCAUGAAGAUGCAUGUUUAUACCUGUUGUACCAGGGUGGUCUUUCUUUCUAGUCUUUCCGUUUCCAUAUUCGUAAUGCCAUUUAGAUAGUGAGAAACCGAGAGCCUGCAUUCUUAAUGUACUCUGUAGGAUCAGCAUGGUUUUUUUUAAUCUCUAAACUGGUUAUAGCUAUAAAACAUUUCAGGAGGCCAUGAAGUGUAGCAGGCAGAACACAGGGCCAGGGCCAACUACUGGAUUUUCACUUGGUAUGUAACCUUGAACAACUGACUCAACAUCUCUGAGCCUUGUUCCUUGGACUUAAAAAUGCUUUCCCCACCUACCCCUGCAAGCUACCAGAGUGGCUGUGAUGUUUAAAUGAAUACCGAACAGUUGCUCUGUACAGCAUCUGGCAGGUAGAACCAGUCAAAUAUGACCCCCCCCCAAAUAUGCAUCCCCAUGCUUCUUACCACAAUGUGAAGUCAGAAUUAUAAGACCUAUCACCCCACUGAGGGGGAACAAUAGAAAGCCCAACAAAAGUUAAAGUGAUCACAUGAUUCCUAAGUGCUGGAGACAGCAACAGGGCAUCAAAGGUUGCAAUUCUAUGGACUCCUCACCCUUUCUGGGCAUUUCCGGGGUAAAGUAGAAGCAGGAGGGGAGAAGAUGCUCCAACAAUAAUGGACCCAUUAUUGAGGGCACUCUGUCACUGAAUUUCCAUCUUCAUGCUCAGCUAUGUAACAAUACCUAAGUUUACCUUUGAUUGACUGGAUGCCUGUUAACACCAAGAACAUCCCAAAACUCAUUGCUAAUCCUCCCUACACCCCUUCAAGAAAAGUAGUACUUUGUCCAUGUCAUAAAUCAGUAGCCCGAAUCUUUCAAAGUAAAUAAAUAACUUCCUCAAGGCUAUGCAGCCAGUCUCUGGCUGGGUGCAACCCUAGUGCCAGCUUCCUUUCUGUCCAGUCCAUGCCACAUCCUGAGAAGCACACAGGAUGUACCCGGUCAGUCUAUUAGAGGAAUUCUGGACAGGUCCGUUUGAACAAAGAAACCAAUUAAACUUGCUGAAAACAAGCUCGGGACAUGCUUUGUCCUGUUCCCAGCUUUCUCUGCGCCCCGUUUCAGGAAAUUGGAGAGCACAAUGACUGGAGUCCUUGGUGUCUUGUUGCCAUAGCAUUCCUCCAGCCCAGCUGGAUGAGCUGGCAUCUGUUUAGGAACUAAAAAGACUCCCAGAGCAACUGGAGUGAAUCCAGCACCAUAGACCCAACCCUUUUCUGUUCGUAGUUUGUUUCUUCUGGAGCCUUGCGCACAUGGGGUGUGUCUGCGCCCUUGUCUGUUGGAUGUAUACAUUGUCUAUUGAAUGAUUUGCUUCCCCAACUAAAUAUCAAAUUCUUGGGAGGCAAGGGAACUCUUUGUCAUCCUUGUCUUUUAUAUAACAGCCCAAUACAUCCCUAAAAAUGUACUUGUUACCUGGAUGGACAGAUGCAUAGGACUGAUAAUUCAUCCUUAGUGGUGCGUGAAAGGGGUUGAAAAGGGAGAGAGAGGCCAGUUAAGAGCUAAAUGGGACAUACUAUACAUUUCCAUAGCAAAUAGUUUAGAUAGACAGAAGUUUUUAGAAACAUUAGAGAAGCUUAUGGGUACCAGGCAUGGAGUUCAGAGAAACACCGCCUGGGGUGAGUUCUCUCUCUGGUCCUUAACUUCUGUGGAACCCUCAGCAAGCCACUAAAGCUAAGUGUUCGAUGAGGUAGUU
This 3852-nucleotide long non-coding RNA is filed under the name Mus musculus (house mouse). RNAcentral describes it as "long non-coding RNA chr9:95086046-95089898". Lineage: Eukaryota; Metazoa; Chordata; Mammalia; Rodentia; Muridae. The record is from RNAcentral.